RNAcentral lists this ribosomal RNA (292 nucleotides) under uncultured bacterium. RNAcentral's name for it is "partial 16S ribosomal RNA". It matches the Rfam family "Bacterial small subunit ribosomal RNA", at positions 505 to 796 of the family's 1533-position model. The record is from RNAcentral.
GUGUCAGCAGCCGCGGUAAUACGUGGGGUGCAAACGUUGCUCGGAAUCAUUGGGCGUAAAGCGCACGUAGGCGGCGCAGCAAGUUGGAUGUGAAAGCCCUCGGCUUAACCGAGGAAGUGCAUUCAAAACUACUGGGCUUGAGUACAAAAGAGGAUCGCGGAAUUCCCGGUGUAGAGGUGAAAUUCGUAGAUAUCGGGAGGAACACCAGCGGCGAAGGCGGCGAUCUGGGUUGAUACUGACGCUGAUGUGCGAAAGCGUGGGGAGCAAACAGGAUUAGAAACCCUCGUAGUCC